GGACUGAACUUUUGUGAGUUUUGUAACCACGUUAAUGAAUGAUCAAAGUGAAUACUUCUGAAACUUUUGGAGAGCGUCUUUACGAGGGUUUAGAAAGUGGGGCUUCUAAUUUGUUGGCAGAAUGAGGUUAUUUUAGGCCGUUGCCUUGUGUUUUCUCUGCGUAAGGUUGAUAUUCUAUCCUGGAAUUAAGUUCCUCUGCUACCAUACAAUUGUGGCAGGGCAAGAUGACUGC
Molecule: long non-coding RNA, 232 nt
Filed under: Trifolium pratense (red clover)
Lineage: Eukaryota; Viridiplantae; Streptophyta; Magnoliopsida; Fabales; Fabaceae
Description: long non-coding RNA (TPRA_LNC004230)
Source: RNAcentral